RNAcentral lists this non-coding RNA (29 nucleotides) under Rattus norvegicus (Norway rat). Lineage: Eukaryota; Metazoa; Chordata; Mammalia; Rodentia; Muridae. The record is from RNAcentral.
GCUCCAAGGAACAGGCAGCUCUAGUUAAC